RNAcentral lists this ribosomal RNA (419 nucleotides) under bacterium. RNAcentral's name for it is "partial 16S ribosomal RNA". It matches the Rfam family "Bacterial small subunit ribosomal RNA", at positions 355 to 776 of the family's 1533-position model. The record is from RNAcentral.
UGGGGGAUAUUGCACAAUGGGCGAAAGCCUGAUGCAGCGACGCCGCGUGGGGGAUGAAGGCCUUCGGGUUGUAAACUUCUUUUGCUCUGAACAAGGCAUGCUAAUGGGUGUGUUGAGUGUAGGGGUUGAUUAGCGCCGGCUAACUACGUGCCAGCAGCCGCGGUAAUACGUAGGGCGCGAGCGUUGUCCGGAAUUAUUGGGCGUAAAUGGCUUGUAGGUGGCUGGUUGCGUCUGUCGUGAAAGCUCAUGGCUUAACUGUGGGUUUGCGGUGGGUACGGGCUGGCUUGAGUGCAGUAGGGGAGGCUGGAAUUCCUGGUGUAGCGGUGGAAUGCGCAGAUAUCAGGAGGAAUACCGGUGGCGAAGGCGGGUCUCUGGGCUGUUACUGACACUGAGGAGCGAAAGCAUGGGGAGCGAACAGG